Molecule: ribosomal RNA, 433 nt
Filed under: uncultured bacterium
Lineage: Bacteria
Description: partial 16S ribosomal RNA
Rfam family: Bacterial small subunit ribosomal RNA
Source: RNAcentral
AGCGAACGCUGGCGGCAGGCCUAACACAUGCAAGUCGAACGAACUCUUCGGAGUUAGUGGCGGACGGGUGAGUAACACGUGGGAACGUGCCCUUAGGUUCGGAAUAACUCAGGGAAACUUGUGCUAAUACCGAAUGUGCCCUUCGGGGGAAAGAUUUAUCGCCUUUAGAGCGGCCCGCGUCUGAUUCGCUAGUUGGUGAGGUAAAGGCUCGCCAAGGCGACGUUCAGUAGCUGGUCUGGGAGGAUGAUCAGCCACAUUGGGACUGAGACACGGCCCAAACUCCGACGGAAGGCAGCAGUGGGGAAUCUUGCGCAAGGGGCGAAGGCCUGACGCAGCCAUGCCGCGUGAAUGAUGAAGGUCUUAGGAUUGUAAAAUUCUUUCACCGGGGACGAUAAUGACGGUACCCGGAGAAGAAGCCCCGGCUAACUACGUG